GGAUUGCCCCAGUAGCGGCGAGUGAAGCGGCAAGAGCUCAGAUUUGAAAUCGUGCUAAUUUUUUUGGCACGAGUUGUAGAGUGUAGGCGGGAGUCUUUGUGGAGCACGGUGUCCAAGUCCCUUGGAACAGGGCGCCUGAGAGGGUGAGAGCCCCGUGGGGUGUCGUGCGAAGCUUUGAGGCCCUGCUGACGAGUCGAGUUGUUUGGGAAUGCAGCUCCAAGUGGGUGGUAAAUUCCAUCUAAGGCUAAAUACUGGCGAGAGACCGAUAGCGAACAAGUACUGUGAAGGAAAGAUGAAAAGCACUUUGAAAAGAGAGUGAAACAGCACGUGAAAUUGUUGAAAGGGAAGGGUAUUGGGCCCGACAUGGGGAGUGCGCACCGCUGUCUCUUGUAGGCGGCGCUCUGGGCGCUCUCUGGGCCAGCAUCGGUUCUUGCUGCGGGAGAAUGGGUGCCGGAAAGUGGCUCUUCGGAGUGUUAUAGCCGGCGCCAGAUACCGCGUGC
RNAcentral lists this ribosomal RNA (500 nucleotides) under Pichia membranifaciens. RNAcentral describes it as "LSU rRNA". It matches the Rfam family "Eukaryotic large subunit ribosomal RNA", at positions 72 to 578 of the family's 3401-position model. Lineage: Eukaryota; Fungi; Ascomycota; Pichiomycetes; Pichiales; Pichiaceae. The record is from RNAcentral.